GUGGGGAAUAUUGGACAAUGGGGGGAACCCUGAUCCAGCCAUGCCGCGUGUGUGAAGAAGGCCUUUUGGUUGUAAAGCACUUUAAGCGAGGAGGAGGCUACCGAGAUUAAUACUCUUGGAUAGUGGACGUUACUCGCAGAAUAAGCACCGGCUAACUCUGUGCCAGCAGCCGCGGUAAUACAGAGGGUGCAAGCGUUAAUCGGAUUUACUGGGCGUAAAGCGCGCGUAGGUGGCCAAUUAAGUCAAAUGUGAAAUCCCCGAGCUUAACUUGGGAAUUGCAUUCGAUACUGGUUGACUAGAGUAUGGGAGAGGAUGGUAGAAUUCCAGGUGUAGCGGUGAAAUGCGUAGAGAUCUGGAGGAAUACCGAUGGCGAAGGCAGCCAUCUGGCCUAAUACUGACACUGAGGUGCGAAAGCAUGGGGAGCAAACAGGAUUAGAAACCCCAGUAGUCC
RNAcentral lists this ribosomal RNA (451 nucleotides) under uncultured bacterium. RNAcentral's name for it is "partial 16S ribosomal RNA". It matches the Rfam family "Bacterial small subunit ribosomal RNA", at positions 354 to 796 of the family's 1533-position model. The record is from RNAcentral.